Molecule: long non-coding RNA, 1384 nt
Filed under: Ictidomys tridecemlineatus (thirteen-lined ground squirrel)
Lineage: Eukaryota; Metazoa; Chordata; Mammalia; Rodentia; Sciuridae
Description: lncRNA (ENSSTOG00000032173.1)
Source: RNAcentral
CACCGAGGCGGGGUGGAGAGCUCAGGCCCUGGGCAUCUCAAAGCCAAGGGGCGGCGCAGACUUAGGGACCUCUGGUGCUGGCCUCGCCACCGCAGCCACCGCACUGCGCACGCGCGCUGUCCCGGCUCCGCCCCCCCGGGUAGGAACCUACAGCGGGUGCGGCGGCGGCGGCAGCAGCAGCGCCGGACGCUGGCGGUGUAGACACCCCUGGGUCAGGACCCGGACCCUGGACUGGCCGCCGGCUAGAAGAUCGCCCCGUGACCCCUCGAGGGGACCCGGACGGCCCCUGGUACAGGACGAGGGACUCCCUCUGUCCCCGCGCCUCCCUUCCUCGCGCCACGCUGUGCAACGUGGACUGGCCUCGGAUAAGGGUGCCGUCGGUGUGAGCGUGCCAACAAUAAACUUGAGAACCAGACCUCAUUGUCUUUCCUUGGAGGAUCGGAGAGGGUGUCCUGUCGGUGGAGGACCCAUGCUUGAGGUGGGGGAGCAGAGCGGAGGGGUCUACGCCAGAGGAAGCUUUGAAUUGUCCCCCAAAACCUAGUGUGAUUCUGUGGGCCCUCUGCAUCCCAGCCCGCCCCCCCCCCUUGUUGGCUUGGGGUUUGGGGUCAGUUUAAAAAGGCCAAGAGAAGGAUGCGAAAGAAUGAACAUUUGGUAACCAAGAAAAGAAAGCCUUAAAAGAAGACAUUUAACCCCUGCAUGUAGGCUGGUAUUUAAAAUAUCCCCUUAAAAUGCCCCUGGUUUUGAAAACUAGGAUAAUGAAUGAUUUGUCAGAGUGACAUUACAAAAUAAAAAGGAAAUACCAAGUACUUUGUUCUCUUUAAAAAUAGAAGCCUAUCUGCUAAAAUGUGAUAUUGUGUUGGAGUCCUUAGAACAUUAUCCUGCAAGUUUAGAAUUGAAAUCACCUUGGAAGAAAAUUGUGGCCUCCAGAAACCUGCAGUACCUGACUUUAGAAGAGCAAUGAAGGAGCAUGGGAAUGUCUCCCAGUCCUUCUGAGUCACAUGUGCAAAGUUUAACCCAACCCAUGAUUGUACACCAUGACAGAUACAGGCCAAGGGUAUUAUUGCAAGUCAGAAAAUAUGGUUUAGAAACCAAUGUUACAUGGUUUCUUUAAGUAGAAUACAAAUAGAGCAUUCCAAUUUUUAAAUUGUGAUAUUUUUAACCAAGGAUGAAUUUUUUUUGCUUACUUUCUAUUUUGAGUCUAAUAUAGUAACCUUGAAAAUUAACACUUUUGUAUGUAUCCAGUUUCAUAUGCUGUAACAUUCAUUACAAGUGUGCUUUGAAAAGAACAAAGGAGAGCAUUCUCUUAUUGGGACUCCUCCCUGACAUGUUACCCUAAACUAAUGUAGAUUUUAAAAACCCAGUAACAACCAUUAAAAAAACAAUC